RNAcentral lists this long non-coding RNA (237 nucleotides) under Homo sapiens (human). RNAcentral's name for it is "non-protein coding lnc-MNAT1-5:1". The record is from RNAcentral. Lineage: Eukaryota; Metazoa; Chordata; Mammalia; Primates; Hominidae.
AGCAAACUCAGAGCUCAUCCAUAAGUGCCAACGCCACUGCUUCUUUCUGGAAGCUUCCACUCCGGCCCGGGGUCCGGCCCCAGCCACGCUGUCCUAGCCCAGAGAACAGGUUCAAGAACGGUGGUGCCCAGCCCCAGCGGUGCCCUUCUCCGUCCCUGUAGCUCGCUGGGCUCUUGAGCCCCUACCCACUAAGCCAAAAAUUCGGGAACCGGGAGCCAAACCCCUUGGCCUCUGAGA